This 253-nucleotide ribosomal RNA is filed under the name uncultured bacterium. Its description in RNAcentral is "partial 16S ribosomal RNA". It matches the Rfam family "Bacterial small subunit ribosomal RNA", at positions 524 to 776 of the family's 1533-position model. The record is from RNAcentral.
UACGAAGGGGGCUAGCGUUGUUCGGAAUUACUGGGCGUAAAGCGCGCGCAGGCGGUCUUCCAAGUCAGUGGUGAAAGCCCGGAGCUCAACUCCGGAACUGCCAUUGAAACUGUAAGACUUGAGGACGAGAGAGGUGAGUGGAAUUCCCAGUGUAGAGGUGAAAUUCGUAGAUAUUGGGAAGAACACCAGUGGCGAAGGCGGCGAUCUGGGAAGAUACUGACGCUGAGGUGCGAAAGCGUGGGGAGCAAACAGG